RNAcentral lists this ribosomal RNA (401 nucleotides) under uncultured bacterium. RNAcentral describes it as "bacterial SSU rRNA". It matches the Rfam family "Bacterial small subunit ribosomal RNA", at positions 975 to 1375 of the family's 1533-position model. The record is from RNAcentral.
CAAGGCUUGACAUAUACGAGAACGGGCCAGAAAUGGUCAACUCUUUGGACACUCGUAAACAGGUGGUGCAUGGUUGUCGUCAGCUCGUGUCGUGAGAUGUUGGGUUAAGUCCCGCAACGAGCGCAACCCUCGUUCUAUGUUGCCAGCACGUAAUGGUGGGAACUCAUGGGAUACUGCCGGGGUCAACUCGGAGGAAGGUGGGGAUGACGUCAAAUCAUCAUGCCCCUUAUGUCUUGGGCUUCACGCAUGCUACAAUGGCCGGUACAAAGGGCUGCAAUACCGCGAGGUGGAGCGAAUCCCAAAAAGCCGGUCCCAGUUCGGAUUGAGGUCUGCAACUCGACCUCAUGAAGUCGGAGUCGCUAGUAAUCGCAGAUCAGCAACGCUGCGGUGGAUACGUUCCC